UCUGAACCUGCCUUUGUGUCGCCUGCAUCUAACCCAGCUCUGUUACUGCCUCAAGGUUGCUGUCAGCAGUCCUACUCUGGAUAACCCUCUGUGGCUCUGGUCGUUUUCCCUGUUGGCUGUCAGCAAGCCCGUUCCCUGAUAACUGCUGUGGCUAGUCUCCCGCUUAUGGUGAAAACUUCAUUGAAUUCACUCCUGCCCAAGGACCUCUCUGGAUCCACCAGAUCUAAUUCAACACUCGCUCCUCGCUUCACCUGCUCUGCCUGUCCACCUUCCAAAAUCGUACACCAUCUGGAGCAAUCCGCUCACACGGCACCCUUGCCAGCCAACCUCCACCUAGGUGGCUUGCUCAUCUCUCCCCGGACUCACCACCCUUACCCACAAUGAGCCGUUUCCUGAAGCCAACCGGCUACCAAGUCCUGACGCUGCCCAGAAACAUUAUUUUCAAUGAACAGUUUUAAAACGUUAAUGUUUCUCCUGUGCGCUGCUCUAGAGUCUCCUGGUUCUGUGGUCAUGACAAUGAAUGCAUGAAAUUGUGAAUACUUGCUAAGCACGCCCAAAACGGAGAUCAGAAAGUUUCAAAUACUUGUGAAUCAAACAACCAAUUGAUUAUGUAUCUAUUUAUCUAAUCAUUAGAAUGUUACUCAACCUCCUUGAGCUAGCUGCCAAAAAGAGGUAUAAAAGAGAGCCGUAUUUGGUGCAGUAUGUUGCAUUAAGAUUUAAUACAAUUUGUUUUAUAAAAAAAGAGGUUCAUUGAUCUGUCCUUCCAUCCAACGUUAUCUGAGAUGAGUCACAGCAGUAAUGGGUCCAGUUAAGAAACCCAGACAUGGCAGUACUCUCUUGCUCAUUUUAGAGGAUACCUGGACAUUACUAGGUUAGAAAGGAUAUGCACUCUCUCCAAUGAGUUCUGGGUUUGCCCUACUUUAUGGUAAAUGACUGCUGGAGAUGGGCACCAUCUCAGACUUGCAAGGAUAAGCAGGUGUAGACAAUAGAUGAAUGGAUGUGUCCAGGUUUUCAUUCAGUCUUUAUCCAGAUCUCAUGGUCAUCACGGUCGCAAUGCAGAUUGACAGAUUUAUUCAAGAGCUUUUCUUUUUGGAUCAGCUCUUUCUUCACCAUGACAAAUUGGAGAAGUGCCUGCUAUAUGACACCAGGCCACAUUCUGUCUGUGUUAUUAUCACUCAUGAACAAGACCCCAGGAAUAUUAAGCAAAUCUGCAAGAAGCUAAAUUAAAACCUCUACCUGGAAGGAGCAGUCCACCUUUUUCCGAUUGAAAACCAUGUUUAUAAUGUCUUCUGAAUGACUACACCUUUUAGGUCCUGUUCUAGAACAGCACAAACAGGAUUAGAAACAAAGUGGUAGAUAUGGUGGGAAGAAUCUCAGGUUGUGCUCUGGUUAAAAUCUCCCCCUGCAUGCAUAUUACGCAGCACAAAAUGAUUCAGGAGAACAUCCUCAGAUCCACAAAACACAAUCUGGACCAUACAACCAAACUGCCAUGACCCCCUUAGAAGUUAGAAGGGUAAAUAUCUAGUCCACUCUUCCACAGCUACAAAAACCACAAGUUAUAAUGAAAAUAAAAAUAAAACUUAAACUAUAUAUAAUGUGUCUCUUUUAGGUAAAAUACCAUGUUGUGGCUCAAGAAUGUAAAACAAAAUCAAAUUUAUCUUUGUAAAUCUUGAGUAGACUUGCAGACUGCCUGCCUCCACAUAGUCCCAUUCGUCUGCAAUAAUUAUAACACUUGGAAUUAAUAUGGCAAUGAUUUCUUGAAGAUGAAUACUAAAAGUAGCAACUGAAAAUUACAUUGCCUCAUUAGAUUGUAGGAGUUCUAGAUGAGUUCACAAAUCUCAACUCAGUGCAGAAGGUUGAAACUGACAUCAGUAAUAGGAGAG
Molecule: long non-coding RNA, 1883 nt
Organism: Girardinichthys multiradiatus
Lineage: Eukaryota; Metazoa; Chordata; Actinopteri; Cyprinodontiformes; Goodeidae
Exons: 2
Source: RefSeq, a predicted model, not a curated record